RNAcentral lists this ribosomal RNA (297 nucleotides) under uncultured Nitrosomonas sp. Its description in RNAcentral is "partial 16S ribosomal RNA". It matches the Rfam family "Bacterial small subunit ribosomal RNA", at positions 197 to 475 of the family's 1533-position model. The record is from RNAcentral. Lineage: Bacteria; Pseudomonadati; Pseudomonadota; Betaproteobacteria; Nitrosomonadales; Nitrosomonadaceae.
GGGAGGAAAGUAGGGGAUCGAAAGACCUUAUGCUUUUGGAGCGGCCGAUGUCUGAUUAGCUAGUUGGUAAGGUAAUGGCUUACCAAGGCAACGAUCAGUAGUUGGUCUGAGAGGACGGCCAGCCACACUGGGACUGAGACACGGCCCAGACUCCUACGGGAGGCAGCAGUGGGGAAUUUUGGACAAUGGGCGCAAGCCUGAUCCAGCAAUGCCGCGUGAGUGAAGAAGGCCUUCGGGUUGUAAAGCUCUUUCAGUUGAGAAGAAAAAGUCGUGACUAAUAAUCAUGAUUCAUGACGG